UCGAGGAUUUUUCUCAAUGGGGGAAACCCUGAAGGAGCGACGCCGCGUGGGGGAUGAAGGUCUUCGGAUUGUAAACCCCUGUCACUUGGGAACAAAUUGGAUCACCUAACACGUGAUCCAUUGAUUGUACCAGGAGAGGAAGCAGUGGCUAACUCUGUGCCAGCAGCCGCGGUAAUACAGAGACUGCAAGCGUUGUUCGGAUUCAUUGGGCGUAAAGGGUGCGUAGGCGGUGAGGUAAGUCGGAUGUGAAAUCCCGGAGCUUAACUUCGGAAGUGCAUCCGAAACUACCUUACUCGAGGACUGGAGGGGAGACUGGAAUUCUCGGUGUAGCGGUGAAAUGCGUAGAUAUCGAGAGGAACACCUGUGGCGAAGGCGGGUCUCUGGACAGUUCCUGACGCUGAGGCACGAAAGCUAGGGUAGCAAACGGGAUUAGAUACCCCCGUAGUCC
Molecule: ribosomal RNA, 448 nt
Filed under: uncultured bacterium
Lineage: Bacteria
Description: bacterial SSU rRNA
Rfam family: Bacterial small subunit ribosomal RNA
Source: RNAcentral